This is a long non-coding RNA of Gallus gallus (chicken), 867 nucleotides long. NCBI's taxonomy places the organism in Eukaryota, Metazoa, Chordata, Aves, Galliformes, Phasianidae. The record is from Ensembl.
AUGUAAUUCAAAAGAUGGGGCUUCUAUUUGCAGAUCUAGAAGAACGGAAAACCUAAAUAUUUCAGCUAAGACUAAGAAACCUAGGCAUGAUGUUGAUAGAACUUAGGGUAAUUAAAACCAACCACAAUGAAAAGAAACUUGGAGUACCUAAAAACAUCACAGCCAUAGAAUCAUGGAACAUCCUGAGUUGGAAGGGACCCAUAAGAAUCUUCAAAUCCAGCUCCUGACACCACCACCCAAAAAUCAGACUAUAUGACUGAGAGUGUUAUCCAGUCAUGUCCCAAAAUCAGGCAGCUCGGUGCCAUGGCCAUACCCAACCUGACCCUCCCUGUCACACAUCCAUGCUGUUCCCUUGGGUUCUGCCACUGGUCACCAGAGAGAGGAGAUCACUGUCAGGAUGAAAUUAAAGGAAGCUGAUCAGCGUGUGGUGGCCGCCAACUCAUAAACAGGCACUCAUUCCGCAAACACUGCUGCAGAAUGCGCGGGAGCGUGACACUUGGACAAUUAACCCCGUAACCAGUGCGAAGGAUGAGUAGGAUCAAGAGCUGAACGUUACUUCAGUUUACAGCUGCAGCAGAAGCACUUCAGGAUUUCAGCUGUUGCUCCCAGCAGGUCUCAGUGCCUGCAGCCAGGGGAAUGGCUACAAGCGCCUGUGGCCUCAAGCCCUGCUGCUGCUCCUUGUUCCUGUCUGUAAAACAAGCCCAUUUGCUGGCAUGUUUGUUGCAGGUUUGUUAGUUCUGCCCGUUCUGCUCCGUCCUUCACUUUUCUCUACGCCUUAUUUAGCUCUAUGCAUUGAUUGUGUUUUUAAAGUGUGGCAGGGAUCAUAACAGAAAGUGGCACAAGUAAAGGGAGAGAGGUUGAAAAAAC